This 698-nucleotide unclassified non-coding RNA is filed under the name Hevea brasiliensis (rubber tree). Lineage: Eukaryota; Viridiplantae; Streptophyta; Magnoliopsida; Malpighiales; Euphorbiaceae. The record is from RNAcentral.
GUUUGUUUCAACUUUCAGCACCUUCCCCCAAAACCCUUCAUUAGCAGCGUCAUCUCUGAUCUCUUCUAGCUCAACUGCAUAGUGCGUAGAUACAGAUCUUCUAGAUUAAUUGGUCUUCUGUCAGAUCCCCAGUCGUCAUAUUCAAAAUUUCGAGGAAUCGUUAGAGGAUAUGGAUACAUCAAGCCCUGCAAUUUUUGUUAAUGGAGAGUCGUUGCAGAUGUAUGUAGGGAAAAAGGUUCGAUCAGUGGUUCAAGUUAUUAAAUCUGAUGGUGGAGACAUGAUUGGAAAAUCUACAGACGAACAUCAAUGGACUAUAAAGGGCUUGUCAUCUGCUCCUCUUAUGAGUUAUGUGGAGGUUAUUGGUGUUGCUGAGAGCAACCAAUCAAUCUGUGCUGAAUUAUGGACCGACUUUGGCAAAACAUUUGAUGCCUACUCUUACAAUCAACUAUGCCAACUUGCAAACGGGGAAUUCAAAGCUUUAUUUCUCUAGGAGCGUGCCGUGGCAGCUUCCAAUGCCUUGCUUCUGUGCGGAGUAGCUACUGCAAUCAUGGUGAAGUUGGGAUUGUAAAGGAAAGUAGUUUAGUUACUAUUUCAUGUGUUGAUUAAGACUGACGAUAUUUGCAAGGCCUAGGUUUUUCUGAAUUGCUGUUCAGAUUCUGUCUUGUUAAUGUAAUAAUAUGGAGCAGGGUUUUCUAUUA